AAAAAGGAGAGUUUGAUCCUGGGUCAGGAUGAACGCUGGGGGGGUGCUUAACACAUGCAAGUCGAACGGGCUCUUUGGAGCUAGUGGGGGACGGGUGAGUAACGCGUGAGAAACUGCCUACAGGACGGGGACAACAGUUGGAAACGACUGCUAAAACCCGAUGUGCCGAGAGGUGAAACAUUUAUGGGCUGUAGAUGAGCUCGCGUCUGAUUAGCUAGUUGGUGGGGUAAGGGGCUACCAAGGGGACGAUCAGUAGCUGGUCUGAGAGGAUGAUCAGCCACACUGGGACUGAGACACGGGCCAGACUCCUACGGGAGGGAGCAGUGGGGAAAUUUUCGCAAAGGGGGCAAGCCUGACGGAGCAACGCCGCGUGGGGGAGGAAGGUUUUUGGACUGUAAACCCCUUUUUUCAGGGAAGAAGAAAGUGACGGUACCUGAGGAAAAAGCCUCGGGUAAAUUCGUGCCAGCAGCCGCGGUAAAACGGGAGAGGGAAGCGUUAUCCGGAAAUAUUGGGGGUAAAGCGUCCGCAGGGGGUUAAACAAGUCUGUUGUCAAAGCGUGGGGGUCAACCUCAUACAGGGAAAGGAAACUGAUUGACUAGAGUAUGGUAGGGGUAGCGGGAAAUUCAGGUGUAGCGGUGAAAAGCGUAGAUAUCUGGAAGAACACCAGCGGGGAAAGCGCGCUACUGGGGCAUAACUGACGCUCAUGGACGAAAGCUAGGGGAGCGAAAGGGAUUAGAUACCCCUGUAGUCCUAGCCGUAAACGAUGAACACUAGGUGUUGCGUGAAACGACCCGCGCAGUGCCGUAGCCAACGCGUUAAGUGUUUCGCCUGGGGAGUACGCACGCAAGUGUGAAACUCAAAGGAAAUGACGGGGGGCCGCACAAGCGGUGGAGUAUGUGGUUUAAAUUGAUGCAACGCGAAGAACCUUACCAGGGUUUGACAUCCCCCGAAACUCUUGGAAACGAGAGAGUGCCUUUGGGAGCGGGGAGACAGGUGGUGCAUGGGUGUCGUCAGCUCGUGUCGUAGAUGUUGGGUUAAGUCCCGCAACGAGCGCAACCCACGUUUUUAGUUGCCAUCAUUUAGUUGGGGACUCUAGAGAAACUGCCGGUGACAAACCGGAGGAAGGUGUGGACGACGUCAAGUCAUCAUGCCCCUUACAUCCUGGGGUACACACGUACUACAAAGCUCCGGACAGCGAGACGCGAAGCCGCGAGGUGAAGCAAAACUCCCAAACCGGGGGUCAGUUUAGAUUGCAGGGUGCAACUCGCCUGCAUGAAGGGGGAAACGCUAGUAAACGCAGGUCAGCAUACUGCGGUGAAAACGUUUCCGGGGCUUGUACACACCGCCCGUCACACCAUGGAAGUUGGGCAUGCCCGAAGUCGUUACCCUAACCGUUUGCGGAGGGGGGGGCCGAAGGUAGGGGUGAUGACUGGGGUGAAGUCGUAACAAGGUAGCCGUACCGGAAGGUGUGGGUGGAUCACCUCCUUU
Molecule: ribosomal RNA, 1488 nt
Filed under: Synechococcus sp. SERB 55
Lineage: Bacteria; Bacillati; Cyanobacteriota; Cyanophyceae; Synechococcales; Synechococcaceae
Description: bacterial SSU rRNA
Rfam family: Bacterial small subunit ribosomal RNA
Source: RNAcentral